This is a long non-coding RNA of Rhopalosiphum padi (bird cherry-oat aphid), 532 nucleotides long. RefSeq lists it as uncharacterized. The transcript is spliced from 4 exons. Lineage: Eukaryota; Metazoa; Arthropoda; Insecta; Hemiptera; Aphididae. The record is from RefSeq and is a predicted model, not a curated record.
AUAUUAUCAUCGAUGAAGUUUAAACACGUCUUAUUCAUUUUACACUCAAUAUUAUAUCAACUAUUUUAAACCCGUCAAUUUAUUCUGUUGAAUUUUUGAUACAGAAUUCAUUAUCAAAAAUGAUUGGAUUAAAAAAAAUUCUGAUUUGUAUCUUAUUUUAUGGUGUGAAUUUCCUUGAAGCACAAUCCAAAAUACGAUACAACAAUGAACUUAACAUGGGUACCAAGUUUAUGCAAAUAAAUAGAAAUGGUUUACCACCCUCAGCAUCAGUAUGAAACAGAAUGAAAUAUAAAAAAUAUAACAUUUAUUUAAUAUUGUUCGAGUAAGACAAAAUAAAUAUGUUUACCGCUGAAGAAACACACUUAUCAAUGGUUAUUUUAUAAUAACUUAGCACUCUAUGACGGAUAAUAUUAAAGAAAAACAAAUGAUCUUGAACGAUAAACCUAAACAAAUACAAGUUAAAUACAGAGAAUAUUAAUAUUUUAUAGUUAUAACGUUUUGUUUAAAUUAAUAAAAUAUAACUGCAACUCUA